GAGUUUGAUCAUGGCUCAGAUUGAACGCUGGCGGCAUGCCUUACACAUGCAAGUCGAACGGCAGCAUGAUCUAGCUUGCUAGAUUGAUGGCGAGUGGCGAACGGGUGAGUAAUACAUCGGAACGUGCCCUGUAGUGGGGGAUAACUAGUCGAAAGAUUAGCUAAUACCGCAUACGACCUGAGGGUGAAAGUGGGGGACCGCGAGGCCUCAUGCUAUAGGAGCGGCCGAUGUCUGAUUAGCUAGUUGGUGGGGUAAAGGCCCACCAAGGCGACGAUCAGUAGCUGGUCUGAGAGGACGAUCAGCCACACUGGGACUGAGACACGGCCCAGACUCCUACGGGAGGCAGCAGUGGGGAAUUUUGGACAAUGGGCGAGAGCCUGAUCCAGCAAUGCCGCGUGUGUGAAGAAGGCCU
Molecule: ribosomal RNA, 412 nt
Filed under: uncultured microorganism
Description: bacterial SSU rRNA
Rfam family: Bacterial small subunit ribosomal RNA
Source: RNAcentral